UCCAGGCCUAGGUUAGACAGACAGCUCCAUUUCCGACAAAUGCCAGCAGGGACGAGGCCACGACACCCAGAAACAUUGUCGCCGCGGCAGUGGAUUGGCAUUUCGGAGGAGCUUGGCUGUCUCAGUUCUGUCCAAUAAUUCAGUCUCUGAGUUGCUCACUCUCCGUUCCCUGGACAUGUUGCUGCUCUCUGCCUCCAGACAAAGCACUUCCACUGGUCAUGGAAAAAAGGUCUAAAUCCGUGUCUUCUCUGCUUACAAGUCUUGCCUGGGAGCAACGGGAGAGAAUGUAUACAAUCGUGAAACAAAAUAUGGCAUUUUCUGAAUGCAGCUCACAUUACCCCAAAUAAACAAACAGGCUCUGUCAAACAACCUUCUUCAAAAUGAUACCACAAUCCUUUAUUGCUGCCCAGGCAGAACAAAUGCACUAUGUCAAAGCAUUUUUUGCAAAUAAGAGCCGAUUUUAAAAUUGAGGUUUGCUAUUUGAGUCCAUACAACAAAAGAAAACAUUUUAGUAGAAUAAUUUUGAUGAAAAUCAAUCUUAAAGGCAACUGAUGAAACUUUAAAUAGCUUAACAUCACUUAUUUACCACAGAUAUUAUUUAAUUCUUAAUUGAAUCUUAGAAAUGCCACAUUGGAUUAUUUUCUGCAAUAUUCACAUUUUACCACUAAUAAAAUUCCCUGACAUGCCUUUCAUCCCAUAUUUGUAUUUGACAAAGCUGCAAAAGGUUUCUCUACCUUCUCAUUACAGACGGUAUUAAUAUAAAAGUACUAUACAUUGUCUCAUUUGGGGGUAAAGAUAAAUUAUAGAAAUUUCAAGAUACUUUAUUUUAAGGACAUAAAUAUUAGGUAAUUUAUUUCAUUUAAAAUCCCUCUCUGAACUUUUAUUACGAUCUUGGACUGAACUUAAGAGUUGAAAGAGUCAUUUAUUGUUUUGUAAAAAAAAAAAAAAUGUUUGUAUAAUGUCUAAUAUCAUUAAGUAAGGAUUUAUCAGGAUUCAAUCCUGAAAUGGGAGAAAAUGCCAUGAGGGAAAGCAAAACAGUCUUAAAGUAGCUGGGAUUUCACCCAAACCGCAGGAUGCUUGAAAUCCUGUGAAAAAGCACUGUCCUCAAUGUUUGAGGUGAGAGUGAUCUAAAUAGUGUAAAAUAAAGCCAUAAAGCCACCACAGUGGUUAUCAAAAAGCUGUCCCCAUAUAAUGAGCUACAGAAACACAUGAAAUCAGAACCCAAAGAUCAUUCUCUUUCAAAUUCAGAUCUUUGCUCUUCUCCUUCCCACCUUCUUCCUGCCCACAUGCAUGAAUUCUUACUGUUAGUUAAGUAAGCAAAUUUGUCAUUACAGAACUUCGAUAGUGGCAGUUAUUUUUUAAAAAAAUGUGCUUGGCUCGUUAUAAAAUUGUUUUGUCAAAAAACCUCAGUAGAAAACUGUUGAAGAUGAAAUAAAUAGCAACUGGUUUCCAAGUUGACACUUGUGAUUAGUAUAAAAA
Sus scrofa (pig) is the source of this 1479-nucleotide non-coding RNA. The record is from RefSeq and is a predicted model, not a curated record. NCBI's taxonomy places the organism in Eukaryota, Metazoa, Chordata, Mammalia, Artiodactyla, Suidae.